UUGGAUGUUGUUCAGUAGUAGAGCACAUGGUUAGCAUGCCAGAAGUCCUAGGUUCAAUUCCUAGCACCAAAA
This 72-nucleotide transfer RNA is filed under the name Heterocephalus glaber (naked mole-rat). It matches the Rfam family "tRNA". From Rfam's summary of the family: Transfer RNA (tRNA) molecules are approximately 80 nucleotides in length. Their secondary structure includes four short double-helical elements and three loops (D, anti-codon, and T loops). The record is from Rfam by way of RNAcentral. Lineage: Eukaryota; Metazoa; Chordata; Mammalia; Rodentia; Bathyergidae.